CCUACGGGUGGCAGCAGUGAGGAAUAUUGGUCAAUGGACGAGAGUCUGAACCAGCCAAGUAGCGUGAAGGAUGACUGCCCUAUGGGUUGUAAACUUCUUUUAUAAAGGAAUAAAACGAGGCACGUGUGCCUUUUUGCAUGUACUUUAUGAAUAAGGAUCGGCUAACUCCGUGCCAGCAGCCGCGGUAAUACGGAGGAUCCGAGCGUUAUCCGGAUUUAUUGGGUUUAAAGGGAGCGUAGAUGGGUUGUUAAGUCAGAUGUGAAAGUUUGCGGCUCAACCGUAAAAUUGCAAUUGAUACUAGCAGUCUAGAGUACAGAUGAGGUAAGCGGAAUUCGUGGUGUAGCGGUGAAAUGCUUAGAUAUCACGAAGAACCCCGAUUGCGAAGGCAGCUUACUAAACUGUGACUGACAUUGAUGCACGAAAGUGUGGGUAUCAAACAGGAUUAGAUACCCCUGUAGUC
This 460-nucleotide ribosomal RNA is filed under the name uncultured bacterium. Its description in RNAcentral is "partial 16S ribosomal RNA". It matches the Rfam family "Bacterial small subunit ribosomal RNA", at positions 338 to 795 of the family's 1533-position model. The record is from RNAcentral.